Molecule: ribosomal RNA, 450 nt
Filed under: uncultured bacterium
Lineage: Bacteria
Description: bacterial SSU rRNA
Rfam family: Bacterial small subunit ribosomal RNA
Source: RNAcentral
GUGGGGAAUAUUGGACAAUGGGCGAAAGCCUGAUCCAGCCAUGCCGCGUGUGUGAAGAAGGUCUUCGGAUUGUAAAGCACUUUAAGUUGGGAGGAAGGGCAGUAAGUUAAUACCUUGCUGUUUUGACGUUACCGACAGAAUAAGCACCGGCUAACUUCGUGCCAGCAGCCGCGGUAAUACGAAGGGUGCAAGCGUUAAUCGGAAUUACUGUGCGUAAAGCGCGCGUAGGUGGUUUUGUAAGUUGGAGGUGAAAUCCCCGGGCUCAACCUGGGAACUGCCUCCAAAACUGCAUGACUAGAGUACGGUAGAGGGUAGUGGAAUUUCAUGUGUAGCGGUGAAAUGCGUAGAUAUAGGAAGGAACACCAGUGGCGAAGGCGACUACCUGGACUGAUACUGACACUGAGGUGCGAAAGCGUGGGGAGCAAACAGGAUUAGAUACCCUAGUAGUCC